AGAGUUUGAUCAUGGCUCAGGAUGAACGCUAGCGGCAGGCCUAACACAUGCAAGUCGAGCGGUAACAGGGGUAGCUUGCUACCCGCUGACGAGCGGCGGACGGGUGAGUAAUGCAUAGGAAACUGCCCAGUAGUGGGGGAUAGCCCGGGGAAACCCGGAUUAAUACCGCGUACGCCCUUCGGGGGAAAGCAGGGGAUCUUCGGACCUUGCGCUAUUGGAUGUGCCUAUGUCGGAUUAGCUAGUUGGUGGGGUAAUGGCCUACCAAGGCGACGAUCUCUAGCUGGUCUGAGAGGAUGAUCAGCCACACUGGGACUGAGACACGGCCCAGACUCCUACGGGAGGCAGCAGUGGGGAAUAUUGGACAAUGGGGGCAACCCUGAUCUAGCCAUGCCGCGUGUGUGAAGAAGGCCUUAGGGUUGUAAAGCUCUUUCAGCGAGGAGGAUAAUGACGUUACUCGCAGAAGAAGCCCCGGCUAACUUCGUGCCAGCCGCCGCGGUAAUAC
This 502-nucleotide ribosomal RNA is filed under the name uncultured bacterium. RNAcentral describes it as "bacterial SSU rRNA". It matches the Rfam family "Bacterial small subunit ribosomal RNA", at positions 8 to 526 of the family's 1533-position model. The record is from RNAcentral.